AGGACGAACGCUGGCGGCGUGCUUAACACAUGCAAGUCGAACGGUAAGGCCCCUUCGGGGGUACACGAGUGGCGAACGGGUGAGUAACACGUGAGCAACCUGCCCUUGACUUCGGAAUACCAGCUGGAAACAGCUGCUAAUACCGGAUAUGACCUCGACCUUCCUGGGUUGGGGUGGAAAGCUCCGGCGGUCAGGGAUGGGCUCGCGGCCUAUCAGCUUGUUGGUGAGGUAAUGGCUCACCAAGGCUUCGACGGGUAGCCGGCCUGAGAGGGCGACCGGCCACACUGGGACUGAGAUACGGCCCAGACUCCUACGGGAGGCAGCAGUGGGGAAUAUUGCACAAUGGGCGCAAGCCUGAUGCAGCAACGCCGCGUGCGGGAUGACGGCCUUCGGUUGUAACCGCUUUCAGUAGGGACGAAGCUAACGUGACGGUACCUACAGAAGAAGGACCGGCUAACUACGUGCCAGCAGCCGC
This 475-nucleotide ribosomal RNA is filed under the name uncultured bacterium. Its description in RNAcentral is "SSU rRNA". It matches the Rfam family "Bacterial small subunit ribosomal RNA", at positions 26 to 518 of the family's 1533-position model. The record is from RNAcentral.